ACUGAGAACAACAAUGUCGCAGAACUAUUCAAUUUUGAACUUAAAAAUUACAAAAAUUGUGACAAAGAAAAUUAGUCCUUAGGUUAGGAACCGUGGCAUAUUCACGCGCAUACAAAUCCAACGUACAUUUAGUAUAAAGUGGCAAAGAAAGACCUAGAAGAAGUAUCGAUAAUUGGGACAAGGACUCGAUCGGGGAACGUGUCAACGGGUAACCUGGUUGGUGGCAACACAGGGGGAACGUUGGUCGGAAAAGUAUCCGCGACAGCUGUAACAAUCAAGCUCGAUUUCCCUGUGCCGGGGUCACCGUGACAGAGGAGUAAUAAGGGAGAUAUGAUCAAGUAGCAAGGAUAACAGGGUCAUUACAGCAAAGCCCGGUGCAGAUAACAUUCGGUUUGGAUAGCCCCUUUGGUCGAGUACUAGAAACGGGUCCUCAAAACUCCAGCCCCGAAGCUACCAACAAUGGCUUCCUCAAUCUCUGCUUCUUUGUAAACCUGCGGACGAGUCCGCAGGAUAUAUCCGUGGAGAAAGUGUUGAGCUCAAAGUUGGACUUCAGUCCCAAGUUUAUGAUAUGGACUUCGGUCCCAAGGUAAAGGUAAGGCUAAAGUAGAGGGCAAGCAAAGUGAAUCAGGAUCCAUGGGUUAACAGUGUGUACAGAGCCGUCUUAAUCAAAGGAAGACUAUAGAAUGUAAAGAAUCCAGAAUUGGGAAGCAACCAGUUGAAGUUUCAUCCAAUGUGACAAUCACUUUGGAAGGUCAAGGUUUGCAAGUGAAGGGUCAUCUAGGGCAGCAUUCACUCACCUAUCCACGUGAAGUAAAAGUUGAGAGGGAGGAGUCAGGUGCGCGCCCUUAGGGUUAGAAAGGCAGUGGAAACAAGACGGGCCAAUCAAAUGCAUGGUCUAUUUAGGUAAGGUCACUUCAAUUUUGUUUUCUAAUUAAUUCAGUUAUUUAUUCAUGCUUGGAGAUUUAUGUACCUCCUUCAUUCUUAAUAUCUGUUUAUUUUUGUAAUUUUAGGACAUAAUUUGAUUUGAAUUAUGCUGGUAGAUCUUGUUUAUGGAGCAGAAGAUUUUGAAAUUUCUUGA
Long non-coding RNA from Diospyros lotus (date-plum), 1078 nucleotides. RefSeq lists it as uncharacterized. The record is from RefSeq and is a predicted model, not a curated record. The transcript is spliced from 4 exons. NCBI's taxonomy places the organism in Eukaryota, Viridiplantae, Streptophyta, Magnoliopsida, Ericales, Ebenaceae.